RNAcentral lists this unclassified non-coding RNA (361 nucleotides) under uncultured fungus. RNAcentral describes it as "sequence contains ITS1". The stretch from base 1 to 105 matches the Rfam family "5.8S ribosomal RNA", at positions 50 to 154 of the family's 154-position model. Lineage: Eukaryota; Fungi. The record is from RNAcentral.
GAAAUGCGAUACGUAAUGUGAAUUGCAGAAUUCAGUGAAUCAUCGAAUCUUUGAACGCAUAUUGCACUCUCUGGUAUCCCGGAGAGUAUGCCUGUUUCAGUAUCAUUGGUAACCUCAAGCCUUCCCGGAUUUUGGAGGGUGGGUUUGGAUCUGAGCUUUGCCGAGGGGACUCGGCUGGCUUGAAACGCAGCCACGGCAGGAACCGGGAUCAAAAAGCGUAACUAGUUGGCUCAUCUGUUGGUCAUCUUUUCGCAAAAAAGGGCCCGGAACCUGUGGGAUUUUGCAGGAAAAUGGAUCGGAGAGGAGAGAUCCUUUCCGGAAACUUGAUCUGAAAUCAGGUAGGACUACCCGCUGAACUUAA